Molecule: RNA transcript, 2028 nt
Organism: Cryptomeria japonica (Japanese cedar)
Lineage: Eukaryota; Viridiplantae; Streptophyta; Pinopsida; Cupressales; Cupressaceae
Gene name: DEAD-box ATP-dependent RNA helicase 15
Exons: 12
Source: RefSeq, a predicted model, not a curated record
GUUACCUUCAAAUUAUAUACUUUCUUUACAUUGGAAAACGCAAUUUAUAAAACGUUGUAGACGGCCUCAGAUCUCCAACUAGAGAAACCAGACCUCGCAUUCUUUGCUUCUUUCUGUUCACUCCGCUGCAGUACAGGUAUUUUUAAAGUAUUUGAGAUGGUUGACAUGAAGGAGAACGACACUUACCAGGAGGAGCUUCUUGAUUAUGAAGAGGAUGAAGAAACCGCCCCCGAUCUCGUCGCGUCUAAGGCUGCCGCUGAGACCGUUAAAAAAGGUUAUGUUGGUAUCCACAGUUCAGGAUUUAGAGAUUUUUUGUUAAAACCAGAACUACUUCGAGCUAUUGUUGAUUCUGGAUUUGAGCAUCCUUCAGAAGUGCAACAUGAGUGCAUUCCUCAGGCCAUCCUUGGUAUGGACGUUAUUUGUCAAGCAAAGUCUGGAAUGGGGAAGACUGCUGUCUUUGUGCUUUCAACUCUUCAGCAAAUUGAACCUGUUGCAGGGCAAGUCGCUGCCCUUGUGCUGUGCCAUACUCGAGAGUUGGCAUAUCAGAUAUGCCAUGAAUUUGAGAGGUUUAGCACCUACUUGCCCGACGUAAAGGUUGCAGUAUUCUAUGGAGGUGUGCAUGUCAGAAUUCACAAGGAAUUGCUAAAAAAUGAAUGCCCUCAUAUUGUUGUCGGAACUCCUGGACGAGUUUUGGCAUUGGCAAGGGAUAGAGAACUUAAUCUUAGAAGUGUUAGACAUUUUAUUCUUGACGAGUGUGAUAAAAUGCUAGAAUCUCUUGACAUGCGGAGAGACAUACAGGAGAUUUUCAAGAUGACUCCCCAUGACAAACAAGUAAUGAUGUUCUCUGCAACUCUGAGCAAAGAAAUUCGGCCAGUCUGCAAGAGAUUUAUGCAAGAUCCAAUGGAGAUAUAUGUGGAUGACGAGGCAAAAUUGACAUUGCAUGGAUUAGUGCAGCACUACAUCAAGCUUAGCGAGUCUGAGAAGAAUCGGAAACUGAAUGAUCUGAUGGAUGCAUUGGAUUUCAAUCAGGUUGUUAUUUUUGUCAGGAGUGUAAGUAGAGCAGCUGAGCUUAACAAGUUGCUUGUGGAGUGCAAUUUUCCUUCUAUCUGCAUUCAUUCUGGAAUGUCACAAGAGGAAAGAUUGACUCGCUAUAAGAACUUCAAGGAGGGCCUCAAAAGAAUUUUAGUAGCAACAGAUUUAGUUGGCCGAGGAAUAGACAUUGAACGUGUAAAUAUUGUAAUUAACUAUGACAUGCCAGAUUCGGCAGAUACUUAUUUGCACAGGGUUGGGAGGGCAGGAAGGUUUGGUACUAAGGGUCUUGCUAUUACAUUUGUUGCUUCAGCAGGUGACUCAGAUGUGCUUAAUCAGGUUCAGGAGCGAUUUGAAGUUGAUAUAAAGGAGCUUCCUGAACAAAUUGAUACUUCAACAUAUAGUAAGUACAAUUUGAUCUUUCUUUGCCUUGAACUCUCUUGAAUCCUGAUGAUGGAUCACGUGGUGUGAUCCAAAAUGUUGAUGGUUAAUAAAUUUUUCACACAAUCAAAUCUAGAGACUAGAAGCAAUAUUAAUUUAUUGAUUGUUUCUUUUGAAAUGAAUUUGCAUGCCUAUCUGUGAAUUGAAGACAUAUUCAAAUUAUUUGGGGGUCUACGCUUUAGUUAUAUAGAUAACACAUAUAGUGAGUUCAUAAUUGUCAUAACUGAGGUAGAAGCUUAAAUGUAACUUUGUUUAAGCUUUGGGUGACAUAAUUGACCUAUUCAUAAUGUGUUUCUCUUAACAGAGAAGGCCUGAUUGUUAAUGUUCACCAUUAAAAAACAAGACUCUAAUUUGUUGGAUUUAGCUAUUCUGCUACUGGGUUGGCAAGAAUUAUUAAUCAGUGUUGUGUAUUGCUUGCCUUCUUUUGCUAUCUUUUUCCUCAGAGAUGGAGGAUUGAAAAAUAUAUAUUUAUCUCAAGGAAGCCUUGAAGUGUUUAAUGGGUUCAUCAAUAGCCAAUGUGUAGAUGUGGGACAACAUAUAGACAUCUUAAUUUCCUUU